Molecule: unclassified non-coding RNA, 346 nt
Filed under: fungal sp.
Lineage: Eukaryota; Fungi
Description: partial internal transcribed spacer region
Rfam family: Eukaryotic small subunit ribosomal RNA (bases 1-46)
Source: RNAcentral
AAGUCGUAACAAGGUUUCCGUAGGUGAACCUGCGGAAGGAUCAUUAACACGUAUCCAACGUUAAACAACCCUGUUAACCUUGAACGCGCUCCUGCAGCCCCAUGAAAUCAGCAAUCCCUGGUAAAUCAUUGUUGACCAGCUUUUGAGUCAGGGACCUCUGCCGAAACGGCUGUUCAGUACCGAGCGCGGUGUAAGCGACCUGGCAUCGUGUCUGAAAGUGUCAUUGAUUGUGUAAGGAUGGCGCAGUAAACGAUUGCUAGAGGCCCACACGGCCGGCAACCGGGUCCCAGGGCUUACGCCCCUUUAUCACCCCACAGUUUCCGACUGGGCAGCCAUCUUGGUUCUC